ACGGUCAGAGAAGAGGAAGCCAUUUUGGGAUGCUAUUAUUUAACGGUGGUUAUUGAAUUCUUGGCCAAUGCUCUUUUUAGUUUGCUUCCUCAAAUCAUCUGGGGUGCAGUUGGGCCAGUUAAUCUUGAAAAUAUCGUCCCACGCCUUCAUUACCGUGCCUAUUCAUUCGUGUUUACAACUGAAGAAUUGCUUUCCUAUGUGAUGAAGGUCCAGAUGAUGACAUUUUGUGGUUUCGCAGAAAAUUGGGAUCCCACAAAGUCUUCAUCAAUUCUCUGACAUAUUUGGUUAAUCCAUAAGACGCUCUUUCAUUGUAUGGUGUAUUCCUGGUUUUUCUUAAGUGGACCUUCCGUUUCAGAAUUUCUUCAUCUACAUUGUGCUGUAGCUUGCUGAGUUCAUUGCGAUCAAAUGCCAAAUGCUUUUGGACCUAAAUCCAGAGAAAAACAAAAAAUUUAUAUAGAGUGUUAUCCAACAAACUGGUUUUAUCAACGGGGUUGAUUGUUUUUAACUUUUUUCCCUAAUAGUGUGGUAAUCCAAUAGUGUAUCCAAUAUUAGUCUUACAAAUAUUCUAUCGACUAAACUUAUCCUCAACUUACUUUGUUCCCAGUUUUUUCAGUAGGAACAAAAUCAGAGUCACUACUUAGAUCGUUAUCUGCUGCCAGGCUGGUUUCCCUCAGUCUCUUACCCUUUAUAAUGAGAGAGGAGUAUCAGAACUGUUAUCGCUCCAUAUAGAUUUAUAAUGUGAUGUUCCAGGAGCAGUUUCAUCAUCACAGCGUAUCUCAUCAUACUCUGGAUUAUAUUCAUAUGGUGGAGAAAGCGAGUUACUUUGCUUAGAUGAAGAAGAAUCAGUGUCUGAAGAGUCUGAAGACGCAUAUUGUUUUGGUUUGUCCUUUUUGUUUUUUUCUAGCUGUUUAGUCUGAAUCUGUUUAGUUUUUUUAGCAGCUGCCUUCUUUUUGGACUCCCUCAAUUCAUUCACGGCUUGGUCACCUCGUUUCUUCAUAGCCUUUGAAAAAGAAUUCAUUCAUAUACGUCAGCUUCCUUUAUUUUGGAUUCUUUCAGGUUGUUCACGAUUUUUUCACUCUCUCUCACGAGUUGGUCACCUCUUUUCUUCAUAGACUUGAAAAAGAAUUCAUUCAUAUACGUCAGCUUCCUUAAUUUUGGAUUCUUCCAGGUUGUUCACGAUUAUUUCACCUUGUGCCAUCACAUUCUUUGAAAAAGAAUUCAUUCAUUUAAGAAUCUGAUUUUUUCAAGUACAUCUACCUUCAUUUCGGACUCUUUCAAGUCAUUCACUAAUUGUUCAUCUCUUUCCUUUAUAUUCUUUGGAAAGAAAUUCAUUGAUUUACGUCAGCUACCUUCUUUUUGGACUCCCUCAAUUCAUUCACGACUUGGUCACCUCUUUUCUUCAUAGUCUUGAAAAAGAAUUCAUUCAUAUACGUCAGCUUCCUUAAUUCUGGAUUCUUUUAGGUUGUUCACGAUUUUUUCACCUUGUGCCUUCAAAUCCUUUUAAAAAAAAUUGGUUUAAGUUUACUAAUUAACCUAAUCAUUGUUACCUCAUAUUUCGUUUUUAGAUUGAUAGUUAGAUCCCUAAUCUUACUAUCCCUCAACUGUAAUAAAGCAUUCAAGUUUACAAUAGUCAUUUCCAGGUUGACUAUCUUCGUCGUUGCAUCAUUUAGAUUCUUCAAAGUAUCUUCGCUUACUUUCUAUAAGUAUUGGCAUCAUUCAGGAUCUUUAAAUCAUCUUCGUGCAUUUGCUUUGAGAUUUUAGAUCUGCUAAUUGGGUUUUCAGAGAUGGAAGUUUUUCUUUUGUCGCUGGUGGUAGACUUGGGGCCAGUUCAGCGUGAGAUGAAUUUGAUCUUGUCACUCUUUUUCCGUUAUCCAUUUUAAUACCAAACUAUUUUAACCUUCACUUCAAAAUCUUAAGACACUUAGACUUAUUAAACUUUCCUUUGAGACCAAAAUUGAAAAGAAUUAGAGAUAGACGCUCUUUGACUCCUACAGUCCUACUAAACUUCAGGGCUACUGCCUAUUACCGCAUUUGGCCUAUUGCCGCCUUGCCGCAUUUGGCCUAUUGCCGGCUUGCCGCAUUUGGGCUAGUAAAAAUUCUUCAUGUAGCUAGCAAAGGCUUUAUUAUCCCACCCUCCAUGAGUACCAUACUAACUAGUAAAGUCCUCUUGUCAUCACAAGCUAAACUCCUGUCUAAUGGGCUAGUAAAGAUUUUUACGUAGAUAGUAAAUCUUGAAACAAUUGAAAUUAUUGAAGCUACUAUUGCAUUAUGGCAGAUGUUUAUUUUCAUCAAGAUUACUGUCAACUUUUAAUUAAUCCUUCUUUUACUUGCUUGUUUACCAUUGGAUGAGAGGUUUGCUUCGUAAAGUGUACUAGUAGAUGUUGAUUGGGGCACAUAUCCAUCAGCAUUCAUUUUGGCUGCUACUUUCAUGAAUUUUUUGAACCCAUCUAGUCUUUUCCACUUUUGGCGCAACAUGUAUGUGGCCAUAUGGCCUAGCAUGUGGUGUGGUGAUCUAGAUUUAGGAAUAUCCAUUUUGACUAAAUUCCACAAACCUUUUUCAUAUAAUUGUUGUUUUUAGGCUAAAAUAAUUAUAGGUUACGUAACAGUUACUCACCUUCCACUGUAUUUGUAUGAGCUCCUGUUAUGGGAUCCUUAAAAUUCUUCGAGUGAUUAACAGUUUGAUGCUGGUAGUCUCUGUUCAUAUCCCUUGUAAAGUUUUUACACAAUUAAGAAAAAAUACACAAAGUAAUGAAUUUCA
Daphnia pulicaria is the source of this 2758-nucleotide long non-coding RNA. RefSeq lists it as uncharacterized. The transcript is spliced from 11 exons. The record is from RefSeq and is a predicted model, not a curated record. NCBI's taxonomy places the organism in Eukaryota, Metazoa, Arthropoda, Branchiopoda, Diplostraca, Daphniidae.